Long non-coding RNA from Corvus hawaiiensis (hawaiian crow), 690 nucleotides. RefSeq lists it as uncharacterized. The record is from RefSeq and is a predicted model, not a curated record. The transcript is spliced from 3 exons. NCBI's taxonomy places the organism in Eukaryota, Metazoa, Chordata, Aves, Passeriformes, Corvidae.
GGAUCCUUGUCCCUGACUGAUGAACUCAACAUAAAGCCACUGACUGAAGGGAAAAGAGACUCAGACAAAGAAUCUGUGUUAAAUGUGAUCAAACAUUCUGAUGGGCAGUUUAACCUUGAGGCUGCGAUUAAAAGUGUUGACACAAUGUCCACUGAGUUGAAGAAAAUAAAUGUGGAAAGCCAGCUACUGCUUUGUGACCUUAUUUUGAAUUUCAACCAUCCUGUGAAAGCCCAAGAUUCCAGAGAAGCUGAAGAAAAGACUUGGAGUUUGACAGAUUAAGUAACAUCCACUUUCAUGUAUUGUCUUCUAUUAAUACUGCUGAAGCUGCUGCUUCUUCCUCUUCUUUCUUCUUCAUCUUCAUCUUCUUUCUUUUAAUUAAGUUUGAACUGUACUAUGAUAGCAUGGUUUCCUGUAGUUAGACUACUUUUAUUUUUAAGCUAAACAUGUGGAAUGGAAAAAAAAGUAGGUUAUUGUUUCUGAGAGGGGUUUUUCAACCCACAUGUCCCAAAUUAAGCCCACAAGGGCUGGAAAGACUGAUGUAAUUAAUUUUAAAGGUCAGGAAACUGGGCAUGAAGUUUUUCACAUGGUUUUCUCCUUUUAAACAAAAACGUGUUGGAAAAGUAACAAAAGAUUUGAAAUAUCUUCAAGUCAUUGCUCUCUUAUCUCAGUUGUGCUCCAGGAAACAGGAUA